GCAGUUAACACAAUAAGUAUCCCACGUGGGGAGUACGGUCGCAAGAUUAAAACUCAAAGGAAUUGACGGGGACCCGCACAAGCAGUGGAGUAUGUGGUUUAAUUCGAAGCAACGCGAAGAACCUUACCAGGGCUUGACAUCCCGUGCAUACCAUAGAGAUAUGGGAAGCCCUUCGGGGCACGGAGACAGGUGGUGCAUGGUUGUCGUCAGCUCGUGUCGUGAGAUGUUGGGUUAAGUCCCGCAACGAGCGCAACCCUUAUUGUUAGUUGCCAUCAUUAAGUUGGGCACUCUAACGAGACUGCCGGUGACAAAUCGGAGGAAGGUGGGGACGACGUCAAAUCAUCAUGCCCCUUACGUCGUGGGCUACACACGUACUACAAUGGCUGAAACAGAGGGAAGCGAAACCGCGAGGUGGAGCAAAUCUCCAAAUACAGUCUCAGUUCGGAUUGUAGGCUGCAACCCGCCUACAUGAAGUUGGAAUUGCUAGUAAUCGCGAAUCAGAAUGUCGCGGUGAAUACGUUCCCGG
This 526-nucleotide ribosomal RNA is filed under the name uncultured bacterium. Its description in RNAcentral is "bacterial SSU rRNA". It matches the Rfam family "Bacterial small subunit ribosomal RNA", at positions 848 to 1377 of the family's 1533-position model. The record is from RNAcentral.